AGCAGCCGCGGUAAUUCCAGCUCCAAUAGCGUAUAUUAAAGUUGUUGCAGUUAAAAAGCUCGUAGUUGAACUUCGGGAUUUGCCCAUUGGUCAGGCUUAACUGUCUGCACUGGUGUGACGAGUUCCUACCUUCUGAGGAAUCUCCAUGUCAUUCAGUUGGUGUGGGGGGAAAUCAGGACUGUUACUUUGAAAAAUUAGAGUGUUUAAAGCAGGCAUCCGUCUGAAUACAUUAGCAUGGAAUAAUAAAAUAGGACGGUUUGGUUCUAUUUUGUUGGUUUCUAGGAUCACCGUAAUGAUUAAUAGGGAUAGUUGGGGGCAUUAGUAUUCAAUUGUCAGAGGUGAAAUUCUUGGAUUUAUUGAAGACUAACUACUGCGAAAGCAUUUGCCAAGGAUGUUUUCAUUAAUCAAGAACGAAAGUUAGGGGAUCGAAGACGAUCAGAUACCGUCGUAGUCUUAACCAUAAACUAUGUC
This 471-nucleotide ribosomal RNA is filed under the name uncultured Diversispora. Its description in RNAcentral is "SSU rRNA". It matches the Rfam family "Eukaryotic small subunit ribosomal RNA", at positions 569 to 1043 of the family's 1831-position model. The record is from RNAcentral. Lineage: Eukaryota; Fungi; Glomeromycota; Glomeromycetes; Diversisporales; Diversisporaceae.